AUUUAUAUAGUUUAAAAAAAACGUUGCAUUUUCAUUGCAAAAUUAAAUUCAAUUUUGUAAAUU
This 63-nucleotide transfer RNA is filed under the name Scolytinae sp. BMNH 1040002. Its description in RNAcentral is "tRNA-Glu". It matches the Rfam family "tRNA". From Rfam's summary of the family: Transfer RNA (tRNA) molecules are approximately 80 nucleotides in length. Their secondary structure includes four short double-helical elements and three loops (D, anti-codon, and T loops). The record is from RNAcentral. Lineage: Eukaryota; Metazoa; Arthropoda; Insecta; Coleoptera; Curculionidae.